Molecule: long non-coding RNA, 815 nt
Filed under: Homo sapiens (human)
Lineage: Eukaryota; Metazoa; Chordata; Mammalia; Primates; Hominidae
Description: non-protein coding lnc-ALCAM-16:2
Source: RNAcentral
UAAAGACUCCUUUUCCAAUAAGUAGAUAUCCAUUAGUGGGAUUGCUGGAUCAAAUGGUAGUUCUACUUUUAGUAAAUGAUCAUAUCACCAGCAAACAGGGACAGUUUGACUUCCUCUUUACCAAUUUGGAUGCCUUUUAUUUCUUUCUCUUGUAUGAUUGCUCUGGCCAAGACUUCCAGUACUAAGUUGAAGAGAAGUGGUGAGAGUGGGCAUCCUUGUCUUGUUCCAGUUCUUAGAGAGGGUGCUUUCAACUUUUCCCCAUUCAGUAUUAUGUUGGCUGUGGGUUUGUCAUCGAUGGCUUUUAUUACAUUGAGAUAUGUCCUUUGUAUGCUGAUUUUGGUGAGAGUUUUAAUCAUAAAAAGAUGCUGGAUUUUGUUGAAUGUUUUUUCUGCAUCUAUUGAGAUGCUUAUGUGAUUUUUGUUUUUAAUUCUGUUUAUGUGGUCUAUCACAUUAUUGACUUGCGUAUGUUAAAGCAUCCCUGCAUCCCUAGUAUGAAACCCACUUAAUCAUGGUGGAGUAUCUUUUUGAUAUGUUUUUGGAUACAGUUAGCUAGUAUUUUGUUAAGGAUUUUAGCAUCUAUGUUCAUCAAGGAUAUCAGUCUGUAGUUUUCUCUUUUGGUAUAUCCUUUCUUGGUUUUGGUAUUAAGCCUAUGCUGGCUUCAUAGAAUGAAUUAGGGAGGGUUCCUUCUUUCUCUGUCUUGUGGCAUAGUGUCAAAAGCAUUGGUACCAAUUCUUUGAAUGUCUGGUAGAAUUCUGCUGUGAAUCCAUGUGGUCCUGGACAUUUGUUUUAUUGGUAAUUUUUUAACUACCAUUUCA